GAUCUAUCAGCUUUUGAUGUUAGGGUAUUGGCCUAACAUGGCUAUGACGGGUAACGGGGAAUUAGAGUUCGAUUCCGGAGAGGGAGCCUGAGAAAUAGCUACCACAUCUAAGGAAGGCAGCAGGCGCGUAAAUUACCCAAUUCUAAAGAAGAGAGGUAGUGACAAGAAAUAACAAUACAAGGCCAUUUCAUGGUUUUGUAAUUGGAAUGAUGGGAAUUUAAAACCUUCCCAAAAUUCAAUUGGAGGGCAAGUCUGGUGCCAGCAGCCGCGGUAAUUCCAGCUCCAAUAGCGUAUAUUAAAAUUGUUGCAGUUAAAACGCUCGUAGUUGAAUUUCAAAGAAUCAAUAUUUUAAGUAAUACUUUUGCCAUAAGAUGCUUAGACAAUACAACGUAUCUGUUCUUUGCAUUCCUUAUGCAAAAUGUGUUCUUAUUAUAAAAAGGAUUCUUUUUAAAAUCUCUUUUGCUAUUUUUUAGUAUUGGAGAUUUUGUUACUUUGAGUAAAUUAGAGUGUUCAAAGCAAACAGUUAAAGCAUUUUUACUGCGUUUGAAUACUACAGCAUGGAAUAACAAAAUUGAACAAGUCAGAAUUCUGUUCUUUUUUCUUAUUUUGGCUUAGUUACGAUUAAUAGGAGUAGCUUGGGGGCAUUUGUAUUCAGAUGUCAGAGGUGAAAUUCUUAGAUUUUCUGGAGACAAACAACUGCGAAAGCAUUUGCCUAAAAUACUUCCAUUAAUCAAGAACGAAAGUUAAGG
Molecule: ribosomal RNA, 749 nt
Filed under: Plasmodium ovale curtisi
Lineage: Eukaryota; Apicomplexa; Aconoidasida; Haemosporida; Plasmodiidae
Description: SSU rRNA
Rfam family: Eukaryotic small subunit ribosomal RNA
Source: RNAcentral